RNAcentral lists this transfer RNA (45 nucleotides) under Kanozata sp. QF QW-2021. RNAcentral's name for it is "partial tRNA-Leu". Lineage: Eukaryota; Metazoa; Arthropoda; Insecta; Hemiptera; Cercopidae. The record is from RNAcentral.
CAAUGAACUUAAGAUUUAUUUAUAAGAAUAUUAUCUUUAUUAGAA